CAGUCGCCGCGGGAAUACGAAGGGGGCUAGCGUUGCUCGGAAUGACUGGGCGUAAAGGGCGCGUAGGCGGUUUGUACAGUCGGAUGUGAAAUUCCUGGGCUUAACCUGGGGGCUGCAUUCGAUAAGUGCAGGCUUGAGUGUGGAAGAGGGUUGUGGAAUUCCCAGUGUAGAGGUGAAAUUCGUAGAUAUUGGGAAGAACACCGGUGGCGAAGGCGGCAACCUGGUCCAUGACUGACGCUGAGGCGCGAAAGCGUGGGGAGCAAACAGGAUUAGAUACCCCCGUAGUCCCUGUCUCUUAUAC
RNAcentral lists this ribosomal RNA (301 nucleotides) under uncultured bacterium. Its description in RNAcentral is "partial 16S ribosomal RNA". It matches the Rfam family "Bacterial small subunit ribosomal RNA", at positions 509 to 807 of the family's 1533-position model. The record is from RNAcentral.